Molecule: ribosomal RNA, 366 nt
Filed under: uncultured eukaryote
Lineage: Eukaryota
Description: LSU rRNA
Rfam family: Bacterial large subunit ribosomal RNA
Source: RNAcentral
CUCUGGGCUUUGUUUGCGCAGGAUAGGUGGGAGGCGUUGAAAAUCUUCUCGUGGGAAGGUUAGAGCCAUUGGUGAGAUACCACUCUAACAAUGCUAGGAUUCUAACCCUAUACCGUUAGCCGGUUAGGGAACAGUUUCGGGUGGUCAGUUUGACUGGGGCGGUCGCCUCCCAAAAGGUAACGGAGGCGUGCAAAGGUUUCCUCAGGCUGGUCGGAAAUCAGUCGUAGAGUGUAAAGGCAUAAGGAAGCUUGAUUGUGAGACCUACAAGUCGAACAAAGACGAAAGUCGGCCUUAGUGAUCCGACGGUUCCGAGUGGAAGGGCCGUCGCUCAACGGAUAAAAGUUACUCUAGGGAUAACAGGCUGAA